This 133-nucleotide small RNA is filed under the name Muricomes intestini. Its description in RNAcentral is "Clostridiales-1 RNA". Lineage: Bacteria; Bacillati; Bacillota; Clostridia; Lachnospirales; Lachnospiraceae. The record is from RNAcentral.
UGAUACCAGGGUCAAAAGGUCAUGCGUUUCAUGCUUGCAUGAAAAAGCAUGACUUUGGGACCCUGGUAUUAUGACAUUAUGAAAAAAUAUUUCAUAUAAAUAUUGAUAGAUUUGAUUUUUAUAUAUAAUAUCA